Molecule: ribosomal RNA, 1225 nt
Filed under: Leuconostoc sp. RIC12-Oh003
Lineage: Bacteria; Bacillati; Bacillota; Bacilli; Lactobacillales; Lactobacillaceae
Description: bacterial SSU rRNA
Rfam family: Bacterial small subunit ribosomal RNA
Source: RNAcentral
GCCUCAAGGCUGGGGAUAACAUUUGGAAACAGAUGCUAAUACCGAAUAAAACUUAGUGUCGCAUGACACAAAGUUAAAAGGCGCUUCGGCGUCACCUAGAGAUGGAUCCGCGGUGCAUUAGUUAGUUGGUGGGGUAAAGGCCUACCAAGACAAUGAUGCAUAGCCGAGUUGAGAGACUGAUCGGCCACAUUGGGACUGAGACACGGCCCAAACUCCUACGGGAGGCUGCAGUAGGGAAUCUUCCACAAUGGGCGAAAGCCUGAUGGAGCAACGCCGCGUGUGUGAUGAAGGCUUUCGGGUCGUAAAGCACUGUUGUAUGGGAAGAACAGCUAGAAUAGGAAAUGAUUUUAGUUUGACGGUACCAUACCAGAAAGGGACGGCUAAAUACGUGCCAGCAGCCGCGGUAAUACGUAUGUCCCGAGCGUUAUCCGGAUUUAUUGGGCGUAAAGCGAGCGCAGACGGUUUAUUAAGUCUGAUGUGAAAGCCCGGAGCUCAACUCCGGAAUGGCAUUGGAAACUGGUUAACUUGAGUGCAGUAGAGGUAAGUGGAACUCCAUGUGUAGCGGUGGAAUGCGUAGAUAUAUGGAAGAACACCAGUGGCGAAGGCGGCUUACUGGACUGCAACUGACGUUGAGGCUCGAAAGUGUGGGUAGCAAACAGGAUUAGAUACCCUGGUAGUCCACACCGUAAACGAUGAACACUAGGUGUUAGGAGGUUUCCGCCUCUUAGUGCCGAAGCUAACGCAUUAAGUGUUCCGCCUGGGGAGUACGACCGCAAGGUUGAAACUCAAAGGAAUUGACGGGGACCCGCACAAGCGGUGGAGCAUGUGGUUUAAUUCGAAGCAACGCGAAGAACCUUACCAGGUCUUGACAUCCUUUGAAGCUUUUAGAGAUAGAAGUGUUCUCUUCGGAGACAAAGUGACAGGUGGUGCAUGGUCGUCGUCAGCUCGUGUCGUGAGAUGUUGGGUUAAGUCCCGCAACGAGCGCAACCCUUAUUGUUAGUUGCCAGCAUUCAGAUGGGCACUCUAGCGAGACUGCCGGUGACAAACCGGAGGAAGGCGGGGACGACGUCAGAUCAUCAUGCCCCUUAUGACCUGGGCUACACACGUGCUACAAUGGCGUAUACAACGAGUUGCCAACCCGCGAGGGUGAGCUAAUCUCUUAAAGUACGUCUCAGUUCGGAUUGUAGUCUGCAACUCGACUACAUGAAGUCGGAAUCGCUAGUAA